This 436-nucleotide ribosomal RNA is filed under the name uncultured Clostridium sp. RNAcentral describes it as "partial 16S ribosomal RNA". It matches the Rfam family "Bacterial small subunit ribosomal RNA", at positions 342 to 792 of the family's 1533-position model. Lineage: Bacteria; Bacillati; Bacillota; Clostridia; Eubacteriales; Clostridiaceae. The record is from RNAcentral.
AGGGAGGCAGCAGUGGGGGAUAUUGCACAAUGGAGGAAACUCUGAUGCAGCAACGCCGCGUGAGGGAAGAAGGUUUUCGGAUUGUAAACCUCUGUUCUUAGUGAAGAAACAAAUGACGGUAGCUAAAGAGGAAGCCACGGCUAACUACGUGCCAGCAGCCACGGUAAUACGUAGGUGGCAAGCGUUGUCCGGAAUUACUGGGUGUAAAGGGAGCGCAGGCGGGACUGCAAGUUGGAUGUGAAAUACCGAGGCUUAACUUCGGGGCUGCAUCCAAAACUGUAGUUCUUGAGUGAAGUAGAGGUUGGCGGAAUUCCGAGUGUAGCGGUGAAAUGCGUAGAUAUUCGGAGGAACACCAGUGGCGAAGGCGGCCAACUGGGCUUUAACUGACGCUGAGGCUCGAGAGUAUGGGGAGCAAACAGGAUUAGAUACCCUGGUA